UGUUGAUUGUGAAAUGCCAGUUGAAGCAUAUGUCCUGCGAGCUUAGGGGUGCUACAAGUUGACCACUGCAGCAGUAAAGAUGACUCUGAAGAAUGGCGUGGGUUGGUUCCUUUCAAAUGCACUUGAGCAGUGGUCUCCAACCACAGGGCCACAGAGCUGGAGCUGGAUCUACCAUGAAAGACUUGUGAAUCCAGGAAGAGAGACUGACUGGGCAACAUGUUAUUCAGGUGGGAACAUCCAGUUGCGGGAAAACAAGCUUAACACGCCCACUGAUUCUACAUUAUGCUCCUACCUCCCGGCAGCCUCUCCAGGCCCAGAACUUUCUCCAGUCAGCCUCUACAGACCAAGCUCAUGACUCACAAUGGCCUAUUUAGGCCCAUACCCUACGUCACGGCAGCCUCCGCAGAUGAGCCUACUGCCUCACAACAGCCUCCACAGGCACAGCUCCAUCGUUACAAUGGCCUCUUUAGACCCAGCUCCUGCCUCCCAGCCUUCUCUCCAGGCUCUGAACUUUCUCAGGUCUCCCUCUGUUGUCCAAGGCUGGAGUGUAGUAGUGCUAUCGCAGCUGACUGCAGCCUCAACCUUCCAGGCUGAAGCGAUCCUCCCACCUCAACCUCCCACGUGGCUGAGACUACAGGUGCUUGCCACUAUGCCCAACUAACAUUUGGAAUUUUCGUAUACGU
This 683-nucleotide long non-coding RNA is filed under the name Homo sapiens (human). RNAcentral describes it as "novel transcript". The record is from RNAcentral. Lineage: Eukaryota; Metazoa; Chordata; Mammalia; Primates; Hominidae.